CCUACGGGGGGCAGCAGUGGGGAAUAUUGGACAAUGGGGGCAACCCUGAUCCAGCCAUGCCGCGUGUGUGAAGAAGGCCCUCGGGUUGUAAAGCACUUUCAGUGAGGAAGAACGCCUGGUGGUUAAUACCCAUCAGGAAAGACAUCACUCACAGAAGAAGCACCGGCUAACUCCGUGCCAGCAGCCGCGGUAAUACGGAGGGUGCGAGCGUUAAUCGGAAUUACUGGGCGUAAAGCGCGCGUAGGUGGCUUGAUAAGCCGGUUGUGAAAGCCCCGGGCUCAACCUGGGAACGGCAUCCGGAACUGUCAAGCUAGAGUGCAGGAGAGGAAGGUAGAAUUCCCGGUGUAGCGGUGAAAUGCGUAGAGAUCGGGAGGAAUACCAGUGGCGAAGGCGGCCUUCUGGACUGACACUGACACUGAGGUGCGAAAUCGUGGGUAGCAAACAGGAUUAGAUACCCGUGUAGUC
RNAcentral lists this ribosomal RNA (465 nucleotides) under Vreelandella stevensii. RNAcentral's name for it is "partial 16S ribosomal RNA". It matches the Rfam family "Bacterial small subunit ribosomal RNA", at positions 338 to 795 of the family's 1533-position model. Lineage: Bacteria; Pseudomonadati; Pseudomonadota; Gammaproteobacteria; Oceanospirillales; Halomonadaceae. The record is from RNAcentral.